UACGUAGGGGGCAAGCGUUGUCCGGAUUUAUUGGGCGUAAAGAGCGUGUAGGCGGCUAUACAGGUCCGCUGUGAAAACUCGAGGCUCAACCUCGAGACGUCGGUUGAAACCGUAUGGCUAGAGUCCGGAAGAGGAGAGUGGAAUUCCUGGUGUAGCGGUGAAAUGCGCAGAUAUCAGGAAGAACACCCGUGGCGAAGGCGGCUCUCUGGGACGGUACUGACGCUGAGACGCGAAAGCGUGGGGAGCGAACAGU
This 253-nucleotide ribosomal RNA is filed under the name uncultured bacterium. RNAcentral describes it as "partial 16S ribosomal RNA". It matches the Rfam family "Bacterial small subunit ribosomal RNA", at positions 524 to 776 of the family's 1533-position model. The record is from RNAcentral.